This is a non-coding RNA of Cricetulus griseus (Chinese hamster), 58 nucleotides long. The record is from Rfam. Lineage: Eukaryota; Metazoa; Chordata; Mammalia; Rodentia; Cricetidae.
UGGCUCUGUGGUUAAGAGCACUGGCUGUUCUUCCAGAGGACCUGGGUUCAAUUCCCAG